GAUGAACGCUGGCGGCGUGCCUAAUACAUGCAAGUCGAGCGAACAGACGAGGAGCUUGCUCCUUCGACGUUAGCGGCGGACGGGUGAGUAACACGUAGGUAACCUACCUAUAAGACUGGGAUAACUUCGGGAAACCGGAGCUAAUACCGGACAAUAUUUCGAACCGCAUGGUUCGAUAGUGAAAGAUGGCUUUGCUAUCACUUAUAGAUGGACCUGCGCCGUAUUAGCUAGUUGGUAAGGUAACGGCUUACCAAGGCAACGAUACGUAGCCGACCUGAGAGGGUGAUCGGCCACACUGGAACUGAGACACGGUCCAGACUCCUACGGGAGGCAGCAGUAGGGAAUCUUCCGCAAUGGGCGAAAGCCUGACGGAGCAACGCCGCGUGAGUGAUGAAGGUCUUCGGAUCGUAAAACUCUGUUAUUAGGGAAGAACAAACGUGUAAGUAACUGUGCACGUCUUGACGGUACCUAAUCAGAAAGCCACGGCUAACUACGUG
This 497-nucleotide ribosomal RNA is filed under the name uncultured bacterium. RNAcentral's name for it is "partial 16S ribosomal RNA". It matches the Rfam family "Bacterial small subunit ribosomal RNA", at positions 28 to 507 of the family's 1533-position model. The record is from RNAcentral.